CGAAAUAUUACUGAAAAAAAAGAAUAUUAUAUCCGUCGAGUUAUUAAAAAACAUCGUUGUAUGCGUUUCGCGCAGAACGUCGCGUACUUACGAUAAAUCACACUAUUACCCAACGGUAAACUUACCGCGUACAGUCGCCGCGACAGAAAAACCAAACGAUCGCGGACAUCUGUAUAAUACAUGUUUAACGUGUAAAAUACAUUCGAGGGAUGCGAGUUCGAACG
Molecule: non-coding RNA, 224 nt
Organism: Cinara cedri
Lineage: Eukaryota; Metazoa; Arthropoda; Insecta; Hemiptera; Aphididae
Source: the annotation of a GenBank genome assembly